Molecule: ribosomal RNA, 253 nt
Filed under: uncultured bacterium
Lineage: Bacteria
Description: partial 16S ribosomal RNA
Rfam family: Bacterial small subunit ribosomal RNA
Source: RNAcentral
UACGUAGGGUGCAGGCGUUAAUCGGAAUUACUGGGCGUAAAGCGUGCGCAGGCGGUUUCUUAAGUCAGAUGUGAAAGCCCCGGGCUUAACCUGGGAACUGCGUUUGAAACUGGGAGACUUGAGUGUGGCAGAGGGGGGUGGAAUUCCACGUGUAGCAGUGAAAUGCGUAGAUAUGUGGAGGAACACCGAUGGCGAAGGCAGCCCCCUGGGUUAACACUGACGCUCAUGCACGAAAGUGUGGGGAGCAAACAGG